UACAGAGACUGCAAGCGUUAUUCGGAUUCACUGGGCGUAAAGGGUGCGCAGGCGGCCGUGUGUGUGAGGCGUGAAGGCCCGGGGCUUAACCCCGGAAUUGCACCUCAAACUACAUGGCUAGAGCAUUGGAGAGGGUAGCGGAAUUCACGGUGUAGCAGUGAAAUGCGUAGAUAUCGGAAGGAACACCAGUGGCGAAAGCGGCUUCCUGGUCCAGCACCGACGUUCAGGCACGAAAGCGUGGGGAGCAAACAGG
This 253-nucleotide ribosomal RNA is filed under the name uncultured bacterium. Its description in RNAcentral is "partial 16S ribosomal RNA". It matches the Rfam family "Bacterial small subunit ribosomal RNA", at positions 524 to 776 of the family's 1533-position model. The record is from RNAcentral.